RNAcentral lists this transfer RNA (56 nucleotides) under Eriopis connexa. RNAcentral's name for it is "tRNA-Gln". The record is from RNAcentral. Lineage: Eukaryota; Metazoa; Arthropoda; Insecta; Coleoptera; Coccinellidae.
UAUAUUCUAGUAUAUAGAUGUACAAAAGUUUUUGAAACUUUAGGAAAUAAUUGUAG